CUACGGGGUGUACCAGGCGAGAAAACUUUGCAAUGUGCGAAAGCACGACAAGGUUAAUCCGAGUGGUUUCUGCUAAAGGAACCUUUUGACAGUCCUAGAAACACUGUUGAAUAAGGGGUGGGCAAGUUCUGGUGUCAGCCGCCGCGGUAAAACCAGCACCUCAAGUGGUCAGGAUGAUUAUUGGGCCUAAAGCAUCCGUAGCCGGCUCUGUAAGUUUUCGGUUAAAUCUGUACGCUCAACGUACAGGCUGCCGGGAAUACUGCAGAGCUAGGGAGUGGGAGAGGUAGACGGUACUCGGUAGGAAGGGGUAAAAUCCUUUGAUCUAUUGAUGACCACCUGUGGCGAAGGCGGUCUACCAGAACACGUCCGACGGUGAGGGAUGAAAGCUGGGGGAGCAAACCGGAUUAGAUACCCGCGUAGUC
This 422-nucleotide ribosomal RNA is filed under the name uncultured archaeon. Its description in RNAcentral is "partial 16S ribosomal RNA". It matches the Rfam family "Archaeal small subunit ribosomal RNA", at positions 323 to 746 of the family's 1478-position model. The record is from RNAcentral.